This 708-nucleotide ribosomal RNA is filed under the name Salmonella enterica. Its description in RNAcentral is "partial 23S ribosomal RNA". It matches the Rfam family "Bacterial large subunit ribosomal RNA", at positions 2226 to 2925 of the family's 2925-position model. The record is from RNAcentral. Lineage: Bacteria; Pseudomonadati; Pseudomonadota; Gammaproteobacteria; Enterobacterales; Enterobacteriaceae.
CGUGGACCCGUGAUCCGGGUUGCGGACAGUGUCUGGUGGGUAGUUUGACUGGGGCGGUCUCCUCCUAAAGAGUAACGGAGGAGCACGAAGGUUGGCUAAUCCUGGUCGGACAUCAGGAGGUUAGUGCAAUGGCAUAAGCCAGCUUGACUGCGAGCGUGACGGCGCGAGCAGGUGCGAAAGCAGGUCAUAGUGAUCCGGUGGUUCUGAAUGGAAGGGCCAUCGCUCAACGGAUAAAAGGUACUCCGGGGAUAACAGGCUGAUACCGCCCAAGAGUUCAUAUCGACGGCGGUGUUUGGCACCUCGAUGUCGGCUCAUCACAUCCUGGGGCUGAAGUAGGUCCCAAGGGUAUGGCUGUUCGCCAUUUAAAGUGGUACGCGAGCUGGGUUUAGAACGUCGUGAGACAGUUCGGUCCCUAUCUGCCGUGGGCGCUGGAGAACUGAGGGGGGCUGCUCCUAGUACGAGAGGACCGGAGUGGACGCAUCACUGGUGUUCGGGUUGUCAUGCCAAUGGCACUGCCCGGUAGCUAAAUGCGGAAGAGAUAAGUGCUGAAAGCAUCUAAGCACGAAACUUGCCCCGAGAUGAGUUCUCCCUGAGACUUUAGGUCUCCUGAAGGAACGUUGAAGACGACGACGUUGAUAGGCCGGGUGUGUAAGCGCAGCGAUGCGUUGAGCUAACCGGUACUAAUGAACCGUGAGGCUUAACCUUACA